UCAGACCCGACUCUCCGAAUUAUGUCCGUGUUGCGUCGUGUAAUCAAUUAAACUAACAAUCGAACAAAACCUUAUUACGAGACAGCGACAAUUUAUCGUAAGUUAAGUAUACAAUACAGUAUACCUAAUUCAUUUUCUCAUGUUAUAAGUGCAAUAAAAUUAUUGCCUGUUAGAUUUGUAUGUAAUUUAGAUUAACAAUCACCAGUUGCUAUAAAAAUUUGAUGAUAUGCUAUUGCCUUGCGCAGUACUUGAGCUUAACAUGAAUACUAUAGCACUUAUUUUGAUGGCCCUGCUAAGUGUAGUGGUGGCCGAGCCUGAGCCAGUUGUCAAUGACCCUGACUACCCUAUCCUAUGCAGCUGCAUACCCACCCAUACUUUCUGCGCCAACGAUAUGAAAACCUACACCAGCGUGUGCGAGUACGGGUGCAAGCAUCCCAACGAGGACGACUGGUACAUUCUGUACGACGGGCCGUGCAUUGGUCAGGGUUAAUAAUUGAACGUUACGUGCAUCUGUUAAACUGGUAACACACUAUCGCACCGCACCGCGACCUUGGUGCGAUAGUGUGUUACGGCUUUUAUAUCUACCAAGAUUGCAAUAAAAACGAAUAACUUGA
Molecule: long non-coding RNA, 614 nt
Organism: Cydia splendana
Lineage: Eukaryota; Metazoa; Arthropoda; Insecta; Lepidoptera; Tortricidae
Exons: 2
Source: RefSeq, a predicted model, not a curated record